Molecule: ribosomal RNA, 629 nt
Filed under: uncultured bacterium
Lineage: Bacteria
Description: bacterial SSU rRNA
Rfam family: Bacterial small subunit ribosomal RNA
Source: RNAcentral
GGAUGGGCAUGCGGCGCAUUAGCUAGACGGCGGGGUAACGGCCCACCGUGGCGACGAUGCGUAGGGGUUCUGAGAGGAAGGUCCCCCACACUGGUACUGAGACACGGACCAGACUCCUACGGGAGGCAGCAGUGAGGAAUAUUGGUCAAUGGGAGAGAUCCUGAACCAGCCAAGCCGCGUGAGGGAAGACGGCCCUAUGGGUUGUAAACCUCUUUUGUCGGAGAACAAAACCCGGGACGAGUCCCGGACUGCGUGUAUCCGAAGAAAAAGCAUCGGCUAACUCCGUGCCAGCAGCCGCGGUAAUACGGAGGAUGCGAGCGUUAUCCGGAUUUAUUGGGUUUAAAGGGUGCGUAGGCGGUCCGUUAAGUCAGCGGUAAAAUUGCGGGGCUCAACCCCGUCGAGCCGUUGAAACUGGCAGACUUGAGUUGGCGAGAAGUACGCGGAAUGCGCGGUGUAGCGGUGAAAUGCAUAGAUAUCGCGCAGAACUCCGAUUGCGAAGGCAGCGUACCGGCGCCACACUGACGCUGAGGCACGAAAGCGUGGGGAUCGAACAGGAUUAGAUACCCUGGUAGUCCACGCAGUAAACGAUGAAUGCUGGUUGUCCGGGUCGAAUGAGAUCUGGGCGGCGA